GUGGGGAAUAUUGCACAAUGGGGGAAACCCUGAUGCAGCAACGCCGCGUGAGUGAAGAAGUAUUUCGGUAUGUAAAGCUCUAUCAGCAGGGAAGAUAAUGACGGUACCUGACUAAGAAGCUCCGGCUAAAUACGUGCCAGCAGCCGCGGUAAUACGUAUGGAGCAAGCGUUAUCCGGAUUUACUGGGUGUAAAGGGUGCGUAGGUGGCAGUGCAAGUCAGAUGUGAAAGGCCGGGGCUCAACCCCGGAGCUGCAUUUGAAACUGCAUAGCUAGAGUACAGGAGAGGCAGGCGGAAUUCCUAGUGUAGCGGUGAAAUGCGUAGAUAUUAGGAGGAACACCAGUGGCGAAGGCGGCCUGCUGGACUGACAAUGACGCUGAGGCUCGAAAGCGUGGGGAGCAAACAGGAUUAGAUACCCGAGUAGUCC
RNAcentral lists this ribosomal RNA (425 nucleotides) under uncultured bacterium. Its description in RNAcentral is "partial 16S ribosomal RNA". It matches the Rfam family "Bacterial small subunit ribosomal RNA", at positions 354 to 796 of the family's 1533-position model. The record is from RNAcentral.